This 468-nucleotide ribosomal RNA is filed under the name uncultured bacterium. Its description in RNAcentral is "partial 16S ribosomal RNA". It matches the Rfam family "Bacterial small subunit ribosomal RNA", at positions 28 to 507 of the family's 1533-position model. The record is from RNAcentral.
GACGAACGCUGGCGGCGUGCUUAACACAUGCAAGUCGAACGGAAAGGCCCUGCUUUUGUGGGGUGCUCGAGUGGCGAACGGGUGAGUAACACGUGAGUAACCUGCCCUUGACUUUGGGAUAACUUCAGGAAACUGGGGCUAAUACCGGAUAGGAGCUCCUGCUGCAUGGUGGGGGUUGGAAAGUUUCGGCGGUUGGGGAUGGACUCGCGGCUUAUCAGCUUGUUGGUGGGGUAGUGGCUUACCAAGGCUUUGACGGGUAGCCGGCCUGAGAGGGUGACCGGCCACAUGGGGACUGAGAUACGGCCCAGACUCCUACGGGAGGCAGCAGUGGGGAAUAUUGCACAAUGGGCGGAAGCCUGAUGCAGCAACGCCGCGUGCGGGAUGACGGCCUUCGGGUUGUAAACCGCUUUCGCCUGUGACGAAGCGUGAGUGACGGUAAUGGGUAAAGAAGCACCAGCUAACUACGUG